Molecule: microRNA precursor, 110 nt
Filed under: Jatropha curcas
Lineage: Eukaryota; Viridiplantae; Streptophyta; Magnoliopsida; Malpighiales; Euphorbiaceae
Description: mir-399 microRNA precursor family
Rfam family: mir-399 microRNA precursor family
About the family: mir-399 was identified in both Arabidopsis thaliana and Oryza sativa computationally and was later experimentally verified. mir-399 is thought to target mRNAs coding for a phosphatase transporter. The mature sequence is excised from the 3' arm of the hairpin.
Source: Rfam by way of RNAcentral
AGUUGCAUUACAGGGCAAAACCUCCGUUGGCAUGCAGCCACUAAUUAGGAUGUGCAUCUCCUAUACAUAGUGUGUUCCCUGUCAAAGGAGAUUUGCCCGGCAAUCCUUGU